CCUACGGGUGGCAGCAGUAGGGAAUAUUGCUCAAUGGGGGAAACCCUGAACCAGCAACGCCGCGUGGAGGAUGAAGGUUUUCGGAUUGUUAAACCCUUUUGUUAGGGAAGCUAAUGGCGGUAUCUAACGGCUAAGCACCGGCUACCUCCGUGCCAGCAGCCGCGGUUAUACGGCGGGUGCAAGCGUUACUCGGAAUCACUGGGCGUAAAGAGCGAGUAGGAGGGAUAGCAAGUCAGAUGUGAAAUCCUAGGGCUUAACCAUAGAACUGCAUUUGAAACUGGUAUUCUAGAGUAUGGGAGAGGUAGGUGGAAUGCGUGGUGUAGGGGUAAAAUCCGUAGAGAUCAAGAAGAAUACGGAUUGCGAAGGCAACCUGCUAGAACAUAACUGACGCUGAUGCGCGAAAGCGUGGGUAGCAAACAGGAUUAGAUACCCCAGUAGUC
This 440-nucleotide ribosomal RNA is filed under the name uncultured bacterium. Its description in RNAcentral is "partial 16S ribosomal RNA". It matches the Rfam family "Bacterial small subunit ribosomal RNA", at positions 338 to 795 of the family's 1533-position model. The record is from RNAcentral.